Molecule: long non-coding RNA, 1844 nt
Organism: Tyto alba (common barn owl)
Lineage: Eukaryota; Metazoa; Chordata; Aves; Strigiformes; Tytonidae
Exons: 3
Source: RefSeq, a predicted model, not a curated record
AGAGGUCCCGUCCUCUGGAGCAGGCUGGCAUCUCACACUUCUUAUUAAAAGGGCUGUCUAUGUGUGUAGCUUUUUUUCUGUUGGCAAGAUUUUAUGUGGGCAGGUUUUUACAUUUUCUUGCCUUCUUGGUCUCUGUCAUUGUUUUUGGACAAAGGAACAUUGUGUGUUUUCUGCACUAUCUAUCCUAGAUAGAGGUUGGAGGAUCCCCUGGAUUUCCAAGCUACCAUAAUGGUAGCCAUCAUUUCUUUCUCUCCUUUUUGAAAAUCCCCCAUUUUUCAUCCCUUCACAUUGGGAGAUCUGCUGGCAGUGACGCUCUAGGGGAAGCACAGACUUGGUGGCCUUUUAUUCACCUUGUGUGAAGAACAGUUUUGAAGCAAUGGCACUUGCUCUCUCGGCAGCCCCAUCGCUGAUGACUAACAGUUCCUGAUGGGUGAAGCAUAAAGUGGACUGCUUUUUUUUUUUUUUUAAGAAUACUUUUGCUGGCAAGGCAUGACGUCGGAUUUUUCACUUCUGGAAACCUGCUUUCUAGCACCCUUGUCGGAAUUUGCGAUGUGAGUCAUAUCGACCUCAACAGGUUUCCUGCACUUCACCAUUUUGAGCCACUCUGCGAGGGGUGUGCAGAGUCAGGGUGAGGUUGGUGCUGCUGCGAUACCUUCUUGUCGCUGGGUCUUCCAACGAGCCCAUUGAUGCAGCGUCAGACCAUCUGCCCGGUGGAUGAUGCUGCCCUCGCCCAUGUGGGGCUAUUUCCUUCUCCGCAAGGGAGCACUUACAAACAAAGAAACCGAUGACAUCUCGGCAUUGGCAUUUCAGGGAGUGGGGAGCGCGUGCUCCAAGUGAGCGGGGAGGAUGAACGAGGCUUUCUCAGAUGAGUUUGUUUGCACAUAAGUUAAGAAGUAGAAGUAUGCAAAAAAAGCUGAAUAUAUGGUCCAUUUUGACUUGCACAAAUAUCUAUUUCACUGCCUUUUUUUUUUUUAGCAUCCUACAGAGGCAGUGUUGAGCAAUUCCUGUCUUGAACAGGUCAUUUCACAAGUGCUGUUUUGAUGGGUUUCUUUUUUCUAGUUUUGUUUUUACUGGGGUGUGUGGAUCUUCUGGAGAAUAUUGUCUUUGUCAUGAUUUAGCAUCAACACUCUGACCAAUAGUACAAAUACAAACUACUUACAGUUAUGAAUGGUCAAAAGACAGAAACUAGUUAUCACGGUUUGAGAAAUCAGAUAAUGCGAACCAGCUGCUUGGAAGCGUAACGUGACCGUCAGGGUGAAUUACGGAGGCAACUUCACUCACUUUCCACAGCAGCAUCAGGCCCUUGGCCUGAAACCAACCAUCAGGCUGGGUCACUCACGUGGUGGAGUUUUGGGGUGUUUUUUUGCCCGGUGCUGAGCAGCUCAUGCUGCGGGUUGAGAAAUCCCGGGGUUUCUUUUCCACCCCCCAACACACAGAUAAGCACGUGCCCCGGCCGGCGGUGCCGCACGUGACGGCGGGUCAUCCCCGCUGCUGCGAGGGAUGCUGCAGCAUCCCCGGUGCUGCCGGGGGACUUCUCGUGUGCCCCCGUCAUGGUUUCUGCUCCCAAACCACUAGUGUGAGAACACCACGGCCCCUGGGACUCCCCUGCGAGCCACGCCGCACAGGCUGCAGCCCGGGUUCUGAGCCGGUGCAUUACUCAACCAGAAAAGAAAUAUUGAUGGUCACACAGGCUGUAUUCAAAUCUGACGUUUCAGAGGCCCCUCUGAGAAUCCAGGGCAAAGGGAACAAGUUUCAUGGUGUGGAUUCCCAGAAUAAUCAUCCCGUAGACUGCUGCUGACAUCGCUGCCCUUUCAGAGAAAAAUGCAAUAAAAUAGAAUUGCUAG